GUAGGGAAUAUUGCGCAAUGGACGAAAGUCUGACGCAGCGACGCCGCGUGAGUGAUGAAGGCCUUAGGGUCGUAAAGCUCUGUUGAAUGGGAAGAAAAAAAUGACGGUACCAUUCGAGGAAGGACCGGCUAACUUCGUGCCAGCAGCCGCGGUAAUACGAGGGGUCCUAGCGUUGUUCGGAAUCAUUGGGCGUAAAGGGUGUGUAGGUGGCCAUGUAAGUCAGGUGUGAAAGCCCCGGGCUCAACCCGGGAAGUGCACUUGAUACUGCGUGGCUUGAGUACCGAAGAGGGUAGUGGAAUUCCAGGUGUAGUGGUGAAAUACGUAGAUAUCUGGAGGAACACCGGUGGCGAAGGCGGCUACCUGGUCGAGUACUGACACUGAGACACGAAAGCAUGGGGAUCAAACAGGAUUAGAAACCCUUGGUAGUCC
Molecule: ribosomal RNA, 429 nt
Filed under: uncultured bacterium
Lineage: Bacteria
Description: partial 16S ribosomal RNA
Rfam family: Bacterial small subunit ribosomal RNA
Source: RNAcentral